Molecule: transfer RNA, 63 nt
Filed under: Thereuopoda clunifera
Lineage: Eukaryota; Metazoa; Arthropoda; Chilopoda; Scutigeromorpha; Scutigeridae
Also listed under: 1 other name
Description: tRNA-Trp
Source: RNAcentral
AGAGUUUUAAGUUAAAAAAACUAAUAACCUUCAAAGUUAUCAUUAUAAAAAUUUUAAACUCUU